This 497-nucleotide ribosomal RNA is filed under the name uncultured bacterium. RNAcentral describes it as "partial 16S ribosomal RNA". It matches the Rfam family "Bacterial small subunit ribosomal RNA", at positions 28 to 507 of the family's 1533-position model. The record is from RNAcentral.
GAUGAACGCUGGCGGCGUGCCUAAUACAUGCAAGUCGAGCGAACAGACGAGGAGCUUGCUCCUCUGACGUUAGCGGCGGACGGGUGUGUAACACGUGGAUAACCUACCUAUAAGACUGGGAUAACUUCGGGAAACCGGAGCUAAUACCGGAUAAUUUAUUGAACCGCAUGGUUCAAUAGUGAAAGACGGCUUUGCUGUCACUUAUAGAUGGAUCUGCGCCGCAUUAGCUAGUUGGUAAGGUAACGGCUUACCAAGGCAACGAUGCGUAGCCGACCUGAGGGGGUGAUCGGCCGCACUGGAACUGGAACGCGGUCCAGACUCCUACGGGAGGCAGCAGUAGGGAAUCGUCCGCAAUGGGCGAAAGCCUGACGGAGCAACGCGGCGUGAGUGAUGAAGGUCUUCGGAUCGUGAAGCUCUGUUAUGAGGGAAGAACAGAUGUGGAAGUAACUAUGCACGUCGUGACGGUAACGAGUCAGAAAGCCACGGCUAACUACGUG